CCUCCACCUGAUGCCUCCCUGAAGGGCAUCCUUCGGGCGGUCAACGGCCUCCGCGGCCAGGUCUCAGCGAGCUCCGUAAGCCCCGGCCCCAUCUCCGGCCUCCCAGGCUCCUCCUCCGGCAACAGCAGUCGGCAUGGAGCAGUCCGAUGAUCGACCUCCGACAGAUUUUGCCAACACCAUCUUGGGAGAAUCCCGGCAGGAAACAACCGAUGUAUUGGUCGGACCCCUUAAGCGACAAAGGAUUGAGGAAUCCAUAACCUUUACUGAAGAAGAUGCUCGGGGAGUUCAAUUUCCUCAUGACGACGCAGUUGUAGUUUCUUUAAAUAUAGCUAAUUACGAUGUCCG
Molecule: long non-coding RNA, 345 nt
Filed under: Elaeis guineensis (African oil palm)
Lineage: Eukaryota; Viridiplantae; Streptophyta; Magnoliopsida; Arecales; Arecaceae
Description: long non-coding RNA (EGUI_LNC063982)
Source: RNAcentral